Small nuclear RNA from Suncus etruscus (white-toothed pygmy shrew), 103 nucleotides. The record is from RefSeq and is a predicted model, not a curated record. NCBI's taxonomy places the organism in Eukaryota, Metazoa, Chordata, Mammalia, Eulipotyphla, Soricidae.
UUGCUUCACCAGCACAUAUACUAAAAUUGGAAAAAUACAGAGAAAAUUAGCAUGGUCCCUAUGCAAGAAUGACAAGCACAUUUACUAAGAGUUCCAUAUUUAA